UACGGAGGGUGCGAGCGUUACUCGGAAUCACUGGGCGUAAAGCGCGCGUAGGCGGUAAGGCAAGUCAGGCGUGAAAGCCCCCGGCUUAACCGGGGAAGUGCGUUUGAAACUGCCUUUCUUGAGUACCGGAGAGGGAAGUGGAAUUCCCGGUGUAGAGGUGAAAUUCGUAGAUAUCGGGAGGAACACCGGUGGCGAAGGCGACUUCCUGGACGAGUACUGACGCUAAAGCGCGAAAGCGUGGGGAGCAAACAGG
This 253-nucleotide ribosomal RNA is filed under the name uncultured bacterium. RNAcentral describes it as "partial 16S ribosomal RNA". It matches the Rfam family "Bacterial small subunit ribosomal RNA", at positions 524 to 776 of the family's 1533-position model. The record is from RNAcentral.